Non-coding RNA from Triangularia setosa, 97 nucleotides. NCBI's taxonomy places the organism in Eukaryota, Fungi, Ascomycota, Sordariomycetes, Sordariales, Podosporaceae. The record is from the annotation of a GenBank genome assembly.
GGCCGUGUGGUGUAGUGGUAGCAUACUUGCUUUGGGAAUUUCUUCUCACAAAGUGCAUUGUUGCAAGUGGUCCCAGGUUCGAGCCCUGGCUCGGCCC